This 322-nucleotide ribosomal RNA is filed under the name Pseudomonas sp. VN-2004.2. RNAcentral describes it as "partial 16S ribosomal RNA". It matches the Rfam family "Bacterial small subunit ribosomal RNA", at positions 1 to 313 of the family's 1533-position model. Lineage: Bacteria; Pseudomonadati; Pseudomonadota; Gammaproteobacteria; Pseudomonadales; Pseudomonadaceae. The record is from RNAcentral.
UCCAGAGUUUGAUCAUGGCUCAGAGUGAACGCUGGCGGUAGGCCUAANACAUGCAAGUCGAACGGCAGCACAGGAGAGCUUGCUCUCUGGGUGGCGAGUGGCGGACGGGUGAGGAAUACAUCGGAAUCUACCUUUUCGUGGGGGAUAACGUAGGGAAACUUACGCUAAUACCGCAUACGACCUACGGGUGAAAGUGGGGGACCGCAAGGCCUCACGCGAUUAGAUGAGCCGAUGUCCGAUUAGCUAGUUGGCGGGGUAAUGGCNNUCCNAGGCGACGNGGNAUAGCUUUCNGNCGUAUGNNNGGUCACUGAACUGGCCGCAC